Long non-coding RNA from Coffea arabica (coffee), 467 nucleotides. RefSeq lists it as uncharacterized. The record is from RefSeq and is a predicted model, not a curated record. NCBI's taxonomy places the organism in Eukaryota, Viridiplantae, Streptophyta, Magnoliopsida, Gentianales, Rubiaceae.
GGUGCGCUGUACCACUAGUACUAAGGAAAACGCUUGCUGCGGCUGUCAUAUUAGCAACCAUUGCCGAAGGAAGAAAAACCCUAGCCGCUGCCUGCGCCAAAGUCCUAUUUAAGCAUCAUCCGUUCAGCGCCUCCAGGUUAUACUAGGUAUCAUCUUAAUAGCAUACAUAUGUCGCCGCUCAAUUGAUUUCCUCCAGUUACAGAUAAUGUGGAGUAUGAAGCUAGUGUUAUGCUUCACCACGACGGCUGUUCUGUUGACAGCGCUUAUUGAAUAUGCUUGUUAAUGGAUUUUGGUCAAACGUUUCGCAAGCCUGUAAAUGGGGAGGGAUGGUGAUACCAUCCCAGGAUUUUGGCACUGUAUUGUAUAGUAUAGUAGUAUGUAAUAUGAGAUUCAAGCAAGCGGAUUUUAAAGUUGUGAAAAAAAAGAAAAGAAAAGCAUAAUAUAUAUAACUGGUAUUACACUACUUA